UUAGUGAUCUUGAAAAGUUCUCUAUUUAUCCGUAGGAUAGGAACAGCACAGAAAGAGAGUUCAGACUUCUCCACACUGCUCUGCCAAUGUACCUCACCUAUGACCUGCAGAUCACCUCUAGAGUAGAAAGGGGAUAGUUGUCUCCGUAAUAAUUUAAUUCUUUACCUUA
RNAcentral lists this small RNA (169 nucleotides) under Gopherus agassizii (Agassiz's desert tortoise). Its description in RNAcentral is "TUC338 (ENSGAGG00000005880.1)". The record is from RNAcentral. Lineage: Eukaryota; Metazoa; Chordata; Testudines; Testudinidae.